AGGGGCGUAGCUCAAUUGGUAGAGUAGCGGACUCCAAAUCCGUUGGUUGCGGGUUCGAGCCCUGCCGCCCCUGCCA
Molecule: transfer RNA, 76 nt
Filed under: Clostridia bacterium
Lineage: Bacteria; Bacillati; Bacillota; Clostridia
Description: tRNA-Trp
Rfam family: tRNA
About the family: Transfer RNA (tRNA) molecules are approximately 80 nucleotides in length.
Source: RNAcentral